RNAcentral lists this ribosomal RNA (553 nucleotides) under uncultured archaeon. Its description in RNAcentral is "bacterial SSU rRNA". It matches the Rfam family "Archaeal small subunit ribosomal RNA", at positions 326 to 879 of the family's 1478-position model. The record is from RNAcentral.
CGGGGUGCAGCAGGCGCGAAAACUCUACAAUGCAGGCAACUGCGAUAGGGGAACAUCGAGUGAUCCUCAUAUUGGGGGUCUGUCCACCCGCCUAAAAAGCGGGUGUUAGCAAGGGCCGGGCAAGACCGGUGCCAGCCGCCGCGGUAAUACCGGCGGCUCGAGUGGUGGCCGAUAUUAUUGAGUCUAAAGGGUCCGUAGCCGGCUUUGCAAGUCUCUCUGGAAAUCCAGCGGCUUAACCGUUGGUCGUCCGGGGGGUACUACAUUGCUUGGGACUGGGAGAGGUAGGAGGUACUCAGGGGGUAGGAGUGAAAUCCUGUAAUCCUUUGGGGACCACCGGUGGCGAAGGCGUCCUACCAGAACAGGUCCGACGGUGAGGGACGAAAGCUAGGGGCACGAACCGGAUUAGAUACCCGGGUAGUCCUAGCCGUAAACGAUGCUCGCUAGGUGUCACAACAGUCGUGAACUGUUGUGGUGCCGUAGGGAAGCCGUGAAGCGAGCCACUUGGGAAGUACGACCGCAAGGUUGAAACUUAAAGGAAUUGGCGGGGGAGCAC